Drosophila sechellia is the source of this 821-nucleotide long non-coding RNA. RefSeq lists it as uncharacterized. The transcript has 2 exons. Lineage: Eukaryota; Metazoa; Arthropoda; Insecta; Diptera; Drosophilidae. The record is from RefSeq and is a predicted model, not a curated record.
GGUGAUGUCGUAAAGAGAUUGCCCAAAGGGUGUAGCUUUUGCAUAGGGUCAUGGGAUGGUAACAAAUAUUAUACACCAUCAUACGAGGGGGUGCAAGGGGUUGCUAAUAGUUCAGACUAACUGGGUGGUUCGAUGCGGUUUCCUGGGACAUAGUCAUGGGAAUGGACAACGAGACCCUUGCUUGACCGAAGGUUAUACUUUCCGGAACACCUGGACCUUCAAGGCCAGGAGUUUGUCAACCGCAAUUAGCACUUAUUCGCAGAUCGGAGAAACAACAAUGGUAGAAAAACAAACAAUAACCUCCAUUGCGCCAGAAGACAGCCGUGUGCAUGCUGAAACUGUGGAUCUCGAGUACGUCCCGGCGCACUCUACGUCGUGGAUUAUCCGGCUCUCAGUACGUGGCCUUCGGCAAUCGACCGACUCGAUUUUAUUGCCUUUUUAAAGUGAAAAACAGCGUAAAAACACGUUCUAUGAAACAGACAACAUUGGCCAGCAGUGUGACCGCAGCUCGGUUGUUUACAUAUACCUCAUGUUAAGGGAAUAUACUGAAAAGUUCUCGUCUGAAGUAAGGGUAUUCAUGAAACUGCAAUGCUGUUUUUGGAAAAAGUAGCGCCAAAAAUCGUAGAUAUUACAAAAUGGGGCCAAACAUUAAUUUUCCAUCUGAAAUUCAUCAAUUAACGUAUGCACAUACCUUUAACUAUAUUAAAUAGCUGAAUAAGGCUAUUUCAAAGUUAGAUCUAUCUCUGAGACUAACUUCUUUUUGGAAUUAUAGCAAUUUGAUAAAUAAUAAACAUAACAGCUUUUCACUGUUUUUAACAAAA